RNAcentral lists this ribosomal RNA (624 nucleotides) under Hanseniaspora uvarum. RNAcentral describes it as "eukaryotic LSU rRNA". It matches the Rfam family "Eukaryotic large subunit ribosomal RNA", at positions 34 to 664 of the family's 3401-position model. Lineage: Eukaryota; Fungi; Ascomycota; Saccharomycetes; Saccharomycodales; Saccharomycodaceae. The record is from RNAcentral.
UUUUGCAUAUCCAAUAGCGGAGGAAAAGAAACCAACUGGGAUUACCUUAGUAACGGCGAGUGAAGCGGUAAAAGCUCAAAUUUGAAAUCUGGUACUUUCAGUGCCCGAGUUGUAAUUUGUAGAAUUUGUCUUUGAUUAGGUCCUUGUCUAUGUUCCUUGGAACAGGACGUCAUAGAGGGUGAGAAUCCCGUUUGGCGAGGAUACCUUUUCUCUGUAAGACUUUUUCGAAGAGUCGAGUUGUUUGGGAAUGCAGCUCAAAGUGGGUGGUAAAUUCCAUCUAAAGCUAAAUAUUGGCGAGAGACCGAUAGCGAACAAGUACAGUGAUGGAAAGAUGAAAAGAACUUUGAAAAGAGAGUGAAAAAGUACGUGAAAUUGUUGAAAGGGAAGGGCAUUUGAUCAGACAUGGUGUUUUUUGCAUGCACUCGCCUCUCGUGGGCUUGGGCCUCUCAAAAAUUUCACUGGGCCAACAUCAAUUCUGGCAGCAGGAUAAAUCAUUAAGAAUGUAGCUACUUCGGUAGUGUUAUAGCUUUUUGGAAUACUGUUAGCCGGGAUUGAGGACUGCGCUUCGGCAAGGAUGUUGGCAUAAUGGUUAAAUGCCGCCCGUCUUGAACCACGGGACCAAAA